RNAcentral lists this ribosomal RNA (253 nucleotides) under uncultured bacterium. RNAcentral describes it as "partial 16S ribosomal RNA". It matches the Rfam family "Bacterial small subunit ribosomal RNA", at positions 524 to 776 of the family's 1533-position model. The record is from RNAcentral.
UACGAAGGUGGCAAGCGUUGUUCGGAUUUACUGGGCGUACAGGGAGCGUAGGCGGUUGGAUAAGCCCUCCGUGAAAUCUCCGGGCUUAACCUGGAAAGUGCAGAGGGGACUGUUCAGCUAGAGGAUGGGAGAGGAGCGCGGAAUUCCCGGUGUAGCGGUGAAAUGCGUAGAGAUCGGGAGGAAGGCCGGUGGCGAAGGCGGCGCUCUGGAACAUUUCUGACGCUGAGGCUCGAAAGCGUGGGGAGCAAACAGG